AGCGUACACGGUGGAUGCCUAGGCGGUAGAAGGCGAUGAAGGACGUGAUAGCCUGCGAUAAGCUUCGGCGAGGUGGCAAAUAACCUUUGACCCGGAGAUUUCCGAAUGGGAAAACCCACUCAGUUUACUGAGUAUCCUGCUUGCAGGAGGCAAACCCGGAGAACUGAAACAUCUAAGUACCCGGAGGAAAAGGAAUCAACCGAGAUUCCCCAAGUAGCGGCGAGCGAACGGGGAUUAGCCCUUAAGCAUAGAUAAGGUUAGCAAAACCCUCUGGAAAGUGGGACGGUACAGGGUGAUAGUCCCGUAUGCGAAAACCUUUUUUAUGUGAAAACGAGUAGGACGGAACACGUGAAACUCUGUCUGAACAUGGGGGGACCACCCUCCAAGGCUAAAUACUCUCUACCGACCGAUAGUGAACCAGUACCGUGAGGGAAAGGCGAAAAGAACCCCUGAAGGGGAGUGAAAUAGAACCUGAAACCGUGUACGUACAAGCAGUAGGAGCCCACUUGUUGGGUGACUGCGUACCUUUUGUAUAAUGGGUCAGCGACUUACGUUAUGUUGCGAGGUUAACCGAAUAGGGGAGCCGAAGGGAAACCGAGUCUUAAAUGGGCGACUAGUAGCGUGGCGUAGACCCGAAACCGGGCGAUCUAUCCAUGGCCAGGUUGAAGGUGCCGUAACAGGUACUGGAGGACCGAACCCACGUAUGUUGAAAAAUGCGGGGAUGAGUUGUGGAUCGGAGUGAAAGGCUAAUCAAGCCCGGAGAUAGCUGGUUCUCCUCGAAAUCUAUUUAGGUAGAGCCUCAUGUCUCACUGCCGGGGGUAGAGCACUGUUAUGGUCUAGCGGGCCGUCAAGGCUUAGCAGCCCAUUGCAAACUCCGAAUACCGGCAAGUGCAAUCAUGGGAGACAGACAUCGGGUGCUAACGUCCGGUGUCAAGAGGGAAACAACCCAGACCACCAGCUAAGGUCCCUAAACACUGCUCAGUGGGAAAGGAUGUGGGAAGGCUCAGACAGUCAGGAGGUUGGCUUAGAAGCAGCCAUCCUUUAAAGAAAGCGUAAUAGCUCACUGAUCGAGUCGGCCUGCGCCGAAGAUUUAACGGGGCUAAGCAGUGUACCGAAGCUGUGGACUCUUUUAAGAGUGGUAGAGGAGCGUCGUGUAAGCCUGCGAAGGGGAAUUGAGAAGUUUCCUGGAGGUAUCACGAGUGCGAAUGCUGACAUGAGUAGCGAUAAAGGGAGUGAAAAGCUCCCUCGCCGAAAGACCAAGGUUUCCUACGCAACGUUAAUCGACGUAGGGUUAGUCGACCCCUAAGACGAGGCCGCAAGGCGUAGUCGAUGGGAAACAGGUUAAUAUUCCUGUACUUUUUAUUACUGCGAUGGAGAGACGGAGAAGGCUAGGCCAGCUUACAGAUGGUGUAAGUUUAAGGUGGUAGGCAGAACGCUUAGGCAAAUCCGGGCGUUCAAUGUCGAGAACCGAUGACGAGCUCAUUGCGAGUGAAGUGGUUGAUGCCAUGCUUCCAAGAAAAUCUUCUAAGCUUCAGGUAAUAGGAAAUCGUACCCCAAACCGACACAGGUGGUCAGGAUGAGAAUUCCAAGGCGCUUGAGAGAACUCGGGUGAAGGAACUAGGCAAAAUGACACCGUAACUUCGGGAGAAGGUGUGCCCCUGAUGGUGAAGCACUUGCUGCGUAAGCUAUUAGGGGUUGCAGAGACCAGGUGGCUGCAACUGUUUACUAAAAACACAGCACUCUGCUAAAUCGUAAGAUGACGUAUAGGGUGUGACGCCUGCCCGGUGCCGGAAGGUUAAUUGAUGGGGUUAGGACUUGUCCGAAGCUCUUGAUCGAAGCCCCGGUAAACGGCGGCCGUAACUAUAACGGUCCUAAGGUAGCGAAAUUCCUUGUCGGGUAAGUUCCGACCUGCACGAAUGGCGUAAUGAUGGCCACACUGUCUCCACCCGAGACUCAGCGAAAUUGAAAUCGCAGUUAAGAUGCUGCGUACCCGCGGCUAGACGGAAAGACCCCGUGAACCUUUACUACAGCUUUACACUGGACUUUGACCCUACUUGUGCAGGAUAGGUGGGAGGCUAUGAAACUGCGACGCCAGUCGUAGUGGAGCCACCCUUGAAAUACCACCCUGGUAGUGUUGAGGUUCUAACCUCGGUCAGUGAAUCCUGAUCAGGGACAGUGUAUGGUGGGUAGUUUGACUGGGGCGGUCUCCUCCCAAAGCGUAACGGAGGAGCGCGAAGGUACCCUCAGCACGGUCGGACAUCGUGCAUUGAGCGCAAGAGUAAAAGGGUGCUUGACUGCGAGACAGACACGUCGAGCAGGUGCGAAAGCAGGUUCUAGUGAUCCGGUGGUUCUGAGUGGAAGGGCCAUCGCUCAACGGAUAAAAGGUACUCCGGGGAUAACAGGCUGAUACCGCCCAAGAGUUCAUAUCGACGGCGGUGUUUGGCACCUCGAUGUCGGCUCAUCACAUCCUGGGGCUGAAGUCGGUCCCAAGGGUAUGGCUGUUCGCCAUUUAAAGUGGUACGCGAGCUGGGUUUAGAACGUCGUGAGACAGUUCGGUCCCUAUCUGCCGUGGGCGUUGGAGAAUUGAGAGGGGCUGCUCCUAGUACGAGAGGACCGGAGUGGACGAACCUCUGGUGUUCGGGUUGUCACGCCAGUGGCAUUGCCCGGUAGCUAUGUUCGGGAAGGAUAACCGCUGAAAGCAUCUAAGCGGGAAACCUGCCUCGAGAUAAGUUCUCCCUGGGCUUUAAGCCCUCUGAAGGGCCGUUGA
This 2767-nucleotide ribosomal RNA is filed under the name Hydrogenovibrio halophilus DSM 15072. RNAcentral's name for it is "bacterial LSU rRNA". It matches the Rfam family "Bacterial large subunit ribosomal RNA". Lineage: Bacteria; Pseudomonadati; Pseudomonadota; Gammaproteobacteria; Thiotrichales; Piscirickettsiaceae. The record is from RNAcentral.